UUUAUUAUCAGCUAGCUGAGGACAGAAC
This 28-nucleotide non-coding RNA is filed under the name Mus musculus (house mouse). Lineage: Eukaryota; Metazoa; Chordata; Mammalia; Rodentia; Muridae. The record is from RNAcentral.